This 682-nucleotide small RNA is filed under the name Drosophila ananassae. RNAcentral's name for it is "GF27990". Lineage: Eukaryota; Metazoa; Arthropoda; Insecta; Diptera; Drosophilidae. The record is from RNAcentral.
CAAAAAAAAAAGAGAUUUGUGGCGAUUGGGAAAAAACGGACAGAAAACGUGACUGGCAACAAGUAGAAGCCCAAAAAUUCGAGAGGUUCUUGUGGCGUGGCACGAAGCAGCAGCGUUGUUGCAACAUUUUAUAGCAUAACAUCGGCAGCAUCGUUUGGCCACUUCAUUUUGCAAAGAGAGCGGAAAUUUAAUGAGCAACCAGCCACUGCCACUGCCACGGAUACUGCCACAGCCACAGCCAGUGCCUGCCACACAUCCGUCAGAUACUUUAUUUCACUUCUGUGCGGCGCACAGAUGCCUCCGGGCGGGCUGUAAUGAUGCGUUUAGCAGAUUAUGAGCUCAGGGCUCUCGACGGGGCCAGAAUUGGAGCAGCAUUUGGAGCCCAUCCGCCUAGUGGCUGCUACAUUUUGUGGUCAUUUACGGAGCAGCUGAAAAACUGCAUCAGAGGCGGCAACUGGAGGGCAACUGGAGUGCGAUUGGAGCGUGCGCCAGGACAUGAUUGUCCCAUUAUGCGAAAAUAAUUGGGUUUUGCAUUCCAAAGUGACAUUUAAGAAGGGUUUCAAACUGAUUUUAUUUCAGAACUUGGUGGAUUUAUGGAGAAAAUAACACUAAAUGUAUGGAGUGCAUCGGCUGCGUUGGCCAAAAAGCUCAGUGGAGCGUGUGGAAACAAGAACGAGGGAGG